Molecule: ribosomal RNA, 274 nt
Filed under: uncultured bacterium
Lineage: Bacteria
Description: partial 16S ribosomal RNA
Rfam family: Bacterial small subunit ribosomal RNA
Source: RNAcentral
AUACGGAGGGUGCAAGCGUUACUCGGAAUCACUGGGCGUAAAGCGCGCGCAGGCGGCUAUUUAAGUUGGAUGUGAAAGCCUACGGCUCAACCGUAGAACUGCAUCCAAAACUAUUUAGCUAGAGUGUGGGAGAGGAAGAUGGAAUUAGUUGUGUAGGGGUAAAAUCCGUAGAGAUAACUAGGAAUACCAAAAGCGAAGGCGAUCUUCUGGAACAGUACUGACGCUGAGGCGCGAAAGCGUGGGGAGCAAACAGAAUUAGAUACCCUAGUAGUCC